UAGUAUAGGCAUUUGAGACCUCAAUUAUGUGUGCUCAUGUAUCCAGCUAGAAUCUUUACUGCUCAUAACAAAGACUAUAGCUUGAAUUUAUAAAUUUUGUCAAACAAUCAAGUUCUGUUCCAACAUUCUUUUUUUGCUUAUUCAGGACAUAUUUAGAUUAUAUUAUUUAAGGAAAAAAAAUCUCUCUCUCUCUGUUCUUUCUUAGCAGUUUUUUGAGAAAAUUUUGAACAAAAAAAAAACAAUUAUUUCCUAAAAUUAAUUUGUAGCCAAAUGUUGUCUUACUGAUUUUGAAGGGCACUUAAGAUUUUUUUUCUAUGCAAAGCUUAUACGCAAAACGUUUCCUUUUGAAGGUAUCUAUUCACUGUUUGAAUUAGGGAUAAGAGGAAGAUACUGCACGAUUUCUUAAAUAUGCAAAGCAUAAAGAAAUCUAUACUGAGUCAUGAAUUUGAGAAGGUCAACCGAAAGAUGGUUCUUUGCCGGGGAUGUGAAUGCGCUUGUGCAUUUGAGAUGUUGUGCUCUUAAACUGGUGUCAGCUCUGAUCUGAUACUGGACAGAGUAAUUAAACUGGUCAAGAAGUAUGACAAAAUUGAGCUGCAAAGGUUACUGAAACAGCUGAUUUUCAGAAAGACUUGAGCUGGAUAGCUUGGACAGGGUAGAGCUCAUUAUGGCUCUUGAAGAAGAAUUUUGCAUCGAAAUCCCUGAUGAUAAAGCAGAUAAGCUUACUUGCUGUGCUGAUGUUGCAAAGUACAUAGUCUUUGUUGCCAACCACAAAAAUAAGG
Molecule: long non-coding RNA, 779 nt
Organism: Cajanus cajan (pigeon pea)
Lineage: Eukaryota; Viridiplantae; Streptophyta; Magnoliopsida; Fabales; Fabaceae
Source: RefSeq, a predicted model, not a curated record